CUCCUCGUUGCCUGUGGAGACUAAGGCACUUGAAAAGCAGCAAACAGUUGUGGCAUCUCAUUUCUCGCGAUCUUUCAGGAAGCACUUCUCCCAGAAAAUUACAAAAAGUGAAGCAGAAAAUGCUUACCAGAAUUCUCCAAAGGUUUGCUCCCAACAAUCAAUUUCACCAAUUUCAGAGCCAUGCUUUGACAAAAUCUCUUCCAGUGAAGAAGCUAGUGCUUCUACCUCAUCCCUAACCAGAAUACCAUUCAAAUCAACUGACGAUGACAAAUGUUCAGCAAUUUGUGAUUCUUCGGUUGGUGUGCCUACGUCUUGCCUCCCUGCAACUCCUUGCAAAGAGAUAAACUGCACAAACUAUAGAGAUUAUUCACCCAAAAAGAUAGAUGGCUUCCAGACAACUCCUGCAAAACUUGCUUCGCCUUCUACACUAAUGUCAAUGACACCUGCAUUGCAUCCACCAAAAAGAUGUUAUAUGAGCCCAGAUGAUGAUACCACUGUCUUAGCAGACAAGCUCACAAGGCGUCCAUCACGAACCAGGUCUCUAAAAUUUGAAACUCCUGUGAAGAAUGUUGGGGAUGAACUUAAUGAUAUGGAGGAUGUGUCAGCUGAUGAUGAUGAUGAUAUUUUGAAUAUUCUCCCUUUGAGUCUUCUGCAAUCAAUAAGAGAAAAAGAAAGGAAGGCCCAAGAAGAGCGAGAUCCUGCAGUCUCACAAGCAAAGAAGCGGCGACAGAUGAUUGCCUGCCUGCCAAAGCUCUUCAACAUGAUUCAUUUCUUGUUUCAGUCAAUAAAACGAUCAGUGAUCACAAAAGAGGAGCUUAUACACAAGAUAAUUGCAAGUCAUUCUGAUAUUGUUGAUAGAAGAGAAGUUGAAGAGCAGCUAAAAUUGCUGCUUGAGCUAGUUCCCGAAUGGAUCUCUGAGAAAUUGGCGUCUGGUGGGGAUUUACUCUUCUGCAUCAACAAACUGUCAAGCCCUG
RNAcentral lists this unclassified non-coding RNA (974 nucleotides) under Hevea brasiliensis (rubber tree). The record is from RNAcentral. Lineage: Eukaryota; Viridiplantae; Streptophyta; Magnoliopsida; Malpighiales; Euphorbiaceae.